UUGACCUCAAAUCAGGUAGGAUUACCCGCUGAACUUAAGCAUAUCAAUAAGCGGAGGAAAAGAAAUUAACAAGGAUU
This 77-nucleotide ribosomal RNA is filed under the name Fuscopostia fragilis. RNAcentral's name for it is "partial 28S ribosomal RNA". It matches the Rfam family "Eukaryotic large subunit ribosomal RNA", at positions 1 to 76 of the family's 3401-position model. The record is from RNAcentral. Lineage: Eukaryota; Fungi; Basidiomycota; Agaricomycetes; Polyporales; Fomitopsidaceae.